GAUGGGGUCUCAUGUAAUGGAGCUCAGGUGCUCCUAAUGUUAACAAGCUGUGAAAAUGGGCCCUAUUUAUUAUUGGGACCAAAUAAAGUACUACUGACCUCUGACAAGGUCUAAACAUUUAACACUAGUCGCCAAAUUACCAAUUACACUUUUAUAUAUAUAAAAUGGACACACAUGAUUUAUUUGCGUAAAAAAUUGCACCAAUUCAUUCCAUAUUCAGAUUUAUGAUGUUAAACUAGCCUGUUCGAGUUAUGAAAAUGCUUCAGAUCACAGACUAUCUCCAACUAGACAAGGUGUUUGCGGUAAGUUCCAUAAGCAUGUGUGGGUGACAACUAUCUGAACGAGUGAGACAAUUUGAAAUAAUAACCAGAUCUGCAAAACACAACUUUCAGCACAAACAUUUCCAUGAGUUUAAACAAAACAUUUAAUAACUUGCAUGGAUCUGUGAAAAUCAGGUAGAAUUUUACAUCUAAACACUCGAACAUUUGAUGAGCUCAGACUACUGAUUUUCAGCAAAGAACAACAAUUUUAGAAGCUCAAUCAACCUUCAGAAUUCCAGAAAUAGUGUGAUAAACUAAUGAAGAAUGAAGAUUUUGGGAACUACAGAUAUGAGCUGAAAACUUUUUGUAUUGCAGAAAACUUCUCUCAGCUUUUUUUUGUAUGUUCGUGAAUGAGUGUGUAUUUUCAGAGGUGCAUGAAUGAGAAAAGUGUGAGUGAGCAACCCCUUACAUAGAACAGAUUGUGUUCAGAGCCUCUUUCAACAAAUAAAAAACAACAAACAUCAUCCAAAUCUUGACCAAAAAUAUUAGAAUUUAAGGAAACAUCGGAUUUUAAAUAAUGCGAUUGAAACUAAUUGAUACUAUUAUAAACAGUUGCAACAAAUUAUAAAAAAAAUUAAUUUCCAAGAGUAAGUACAAAUAGUUCCCAUGCGACUGAAGAGAAAACAAAAAACUAACAGAUCAAAAUGAUUUUAAAGAAAACAAACGAAGAAGAAGAUAAAAGAUUACCAUCUGAGGCCGAACUUAGCCGGAACGAGAAAAGGAGAAGUUGGCGAUGGUCAAUAGCAUUUGCCCGGACUCCGGUGGCCAUGCAAUGAAUUGAAAUUAGCAUCAACCGAUUGCUCUUCUCAAGAGCAACCGAUUGAUGUCGAUUUGACUACUCAAACUGAUCAAGAUUGGAGAAAAUCAAGAAAUGGAGCAAUUUUAGGCUUUUGGUCAUAUUUAGAUCUACUAAUCGAGCAAUCCUGGGGUUUUGUGGUGGAACUAAUUGCAGGGGGAUAUAGGGAGGUGACAGGGAGUAUAAGGUGAUGACUUGGGGUUAUUUGGUGGUGCUCCUUCGCCGUGAGGCGAUUUUCGGCGGCGGAAAUGGGCGUUUGAUGGCGAGGAGAAGGGAGUGUAUUAGAGACGGGUUUUUGGGGGGAGCGGGUAGCACCGGGUUU
Molecule: long non-coding RNA, 1438 nt
Filed under: Nicotiana tabacum (common tobacco)
Lineage: Eukaryota; Viridiplantae; Streptophyta; Magnoliopsida; Solanales; Solanaceae
Description: long non-coding RNA (NTAB_LNC015124)
Source: RNAcentral